UACGUAGGGGGCAAGCGUUGUCCGGAAUCAUUGGGCGUAAAGCGCGCGUAGGCGGCCCGAUAAGUCUGCUGUGAAAGUCCAGGGCUCAACCCUGGAAUGCCGGUGGAUACUGUCGGGCUAGAGUUCGGAAGAGGCAAGUGGAAUUCCUGGUGUAGCGGUGGAAUGCGCAGAUAUCAGGAGGAACACCGGUGGCGAAGGCGGCUUCCUGGACCGACACUGACGCUGAGGCGCGAAAGCGUGGGGAGCGAACAGG
Molecule: ribosomal RNA, 253 nt
Filed under: uncultured bacterium
Lineage: Bacteria
Description: partial 16S ribosomal RNA
Rfam family: Bacterial small subunit ribosomal RNA
Source: RNAcentral